This 254-nucleotide ribosomal RNA is filed under the name uncultured bacterium. RNAcentral describes it as "partial 16S ribosomal RNA". It matches the Rfam family "Bacterial small subunit ribosomal RNA", at positions 524 to 777 of the family's 1533-position model. The record is from RNAcentral.
UACGUAGGGGGCAAGCGUUGUCCGGAAUCAUUGGGCGUAAAGAGCGUGUAGGCGGCCAGAUAAGUCCGCUGUGAAAUCUCGAGGCUCAACUUCGAGCUGUCGGUGGAAACUGUCUGGCUAGAGUCCGGAAGAGGAGAAUGGAAUUCCUGGUGUAGCGGUGAAAUGCGUAGAUAUCGGGAGGAACACCAGUGGCGAAGGCGGGCAUCUGGGCCAACACUGACGCUGAGGCGCGAAAGCUAGGGGAGCAAACAGGG